RNAcentral lists this long non-coding RNA (301 nucleotides) under Vitis vinifera (wine grape). Its description in RNAcentral is "long non-coding RNA (VVIN_LNC000812)". The record is from RNAcentral. Lineage: Eukaryota; Viridiplantae; Streptophyta; Magnoliopsida; Vitales; Vitaceae.
UUUCCUCUGCCACUCUCAAUCCUCACAGGUACUAAUCUAAUCAUGUUAUUAUUAUUAUUUUUUUUUUUGCAACCCCCGUUUGAUUCCCAAGAAAAUCCAUCCCCCAUUCGAUUUCCGGGAAAAUUCAUCCUCGUUUGAUUUCCGAGAAAAUCCAAGCAAAAACCCUGCAACCCCCGUUUGAUUCCCAAGAAAACCCAUCCCCCAUUCGAUUUCCGGGAAAAUUCAUCCUCGUUUGAUUUCCGAGAAAAUCCAAGCAAAAACCCCAAGGAAAACCAAAAAAAUGGAUUUUCUUUUGCUCCCU